UGGGUAGGGGAGCGUCGUGCAGCCAGGGAAGCAGCAGUGUGAACUAGUUGUGGAGGCUGUGCGAGUGAGAAUGCAGGCAUGAGUAGCGAAAGACGAGUGAGAAACUCGUCCGCCGAAUGACCAAGGGUUCCUGGGCCAGGUUAAUCCGCCCAGGGUGAGUCGGGACCUAAGGCGAGGCCGACAGGCGUAGUCGAUGGACAACGGGUUGAUAUUCCCGUACCCGUGUAUCCGCGCCCAAUGGCGAAUCAUCUGUGCUAACCGUCCUGAACCUGAGCGAUCUCCUUCGGGAGACGUGAGGGGGAUGCACGGGACCCUGGGUGUAGUAGUCAAGCGAUGGGGUGACGCAGGAAGGUAGCUGGGCCAGUGAGUGGUUGUACUGGUGUAAGCCUGUAGGGCGUUGUGUAGGCAAAUCCGCACAACAUGAGCCUGAGAGGUGAUGCGUAGCCGAUUGAGGUGAAUUCAGUGAUCCUAUGCUGCCGAGAAAAGCCUCUAGUGAGUUGGUACACGGCCCGUACCCCAAACCGACACAGGUGGUCAGGUAGAGAAUACCGAGGCGAUCGAGAGAACUGUGGUUAAGGAACUCGGCAAAAUGCCCCCGUAACUUCGGGAGAAGGGGGACCUGAUCUGGUGACCGGUCUUGCACCGUGAGCUGGGUUGGGUCGCAGAGACCAGAGAGAAGCGACUGUUUACUAAAAACACAGGUCCGUGCGAAGUCGUAAGACGAUGUAUACGGACUGACGCCUGCCCGGUGCCGGAAGGUUAAGAGGACCGGUUAGCGCUUCGGCGCGAAGCUGAGAAUUUAAGCCCCGGUAAACGGCGGUGGUAACUAUAACCAUCCUAAGGUAGCGAAAUUCCUUGUCGGGUAAGUUCCGACCUGCACGAAUGGCGUAACGACUUCUCUGCUGUCUCAACCACAGACUCGGCGAAAUUGCAUUACGAGUAAAGAUGCUCGUUACGCGCGGCAGGACGAAAAGACCCCGGGACCUUCACUAUAGCUUGGUAUUGGUGUUCGGUACGGUUUGUGUAGGAUAGGUGGGAGACUGUGAAAGCCACACGCCAGUGUGGUGGGAGUCGUCGUUGAAAUACCACUCUGAUCGUAUUGGACUUCUAACCUCGGGCCAUGAUCUGGUUCAGGGACAGUGCCUGGUGGGUAGUUUAACUGGGGCGGUUGCCUCCUAAA
Molecule: ribosomal RNA, 1180 nt
Filed under: Nocardia farcinica
Lineage: Bacteria; Bacillati; Actinomycetota; Actinomycetes; Mycobacteriales; Nocardiaceae
Description: partial 23S ribosomal RNA
Rfam family: Bacterial large subunit ribosomal RNA
Source: RNAcentral